RNAcentral lists this long non-coding RNA (2098 nucleotides) under Cyanistes caeruleus (blue tit). RNAcentral's name for it is "lncRNA (ENSCCEG00000017981.1)". The record is from RNAcentral. Lineage: Eukaryota; Metazoa; Chordata; Aves; Passeriformes; Paridae.
CAGACUGGUGGGGCAGGUCAGGAAAAAAACACCCAAAAGAUUCCCAAAAAAUCCCAAAAAAUUCCCAAAAAAUCCAAAAAAAAUCCCAAAAAAAAUCCCCAAAAAAUUCCCAAAAAAUCUAAAAAAAUUCCCCCCAAAAAUUCCCAAAUAUUCCCCAAAUAUUUCCCAAAUAUCCCCAAAAAAAUCCCAAAAAAUCCAAAAAAAUUCCCCCCAAAAAUUCCCAUAUAUUCCCCCAAAAAUUCCAAAAAAAAUCCCAAAUAUUCCCCAAAUAUUCCCCAAAAAAUUCCCAAAAAUUUCCCCAAAAAUUCCCCAAAUAUUCCCCCCAAAAUUCAGUACGACAUCUCCGACCCCAAACAUCCCAGACUGGUGGGGCAGGUCAGGAAAAAAACACCCAAAAGAUUCCCAAAAAAUCCAAAAAAUUCCCCAAAAAAUUCCCAAAAAAUUCCCCCAAAUAUUCCCCAAAAAAUAAAAAAAAAAUUCCCCCAAAAAAUCAAAAAAAUUCCCCCAAAAUUAAAAAAAAAUUCCCAAAAAAAUCCCCAAAAAUUCAGUACGACAUCUCUGACCCCAAAAAUCCCAGACUGGUGGGGCAGGUUUUUCUGGGAGGCAGCCUCUGCAAAGGGGGAGCAGUGACGGUGCUGGAAGAUCGGGAAUUGCGGGAACAGCCGGAGCCCUUCGUCAUCCAGGGCAGGAAGGUGCCGGGGGGGCCGCAGAUGCUGCAGCUGAGCCUGGACGGGCGGCGGCUCUACGUGAGCACCUCCCUGUACAGCGCCUGGGACCGGCUCUUCUACCCCGAGCUGCUCAGGUCAGGGCCCACAUCAGCAAGAAUUCAUCAUUCAUUAAUCAUUACAUUAAUAAUUAAUUAAUAAUUAAUUAUUAAUUAUUAAUAUACUAAUAACAUCUUAUAACUGCUGUACUAGUAACUUUCCCAUUCCAAAAUCCCUUCUCCCAAUCCCAAACCCUUCUCCCAAGCCAUUUUCCCAACCUCUUUUCCCAAUCCCAAACCCUUCUCCCAAAUCCCCUUUCCCAGCCCCAAACAUUUAUCCCAAUCCCAAAUCCUUCAAACCCUUCUCCCAAUCCCAAAUCCCAUUUCCCAAUCCCAAAUCCCAUUUCCCAAUCCCAAACCCUUCUCCCAACCCCAAAUCCUUCUCCCAAUCCCAAACCCUUCAAACCCUUCUCCCAAUCCCAAAUCCCAUUCCCCAAUCCCAAACCCUUCUCCCAAUCCCAAAUCCUUUCCCAAUCCCAAACCCUUUUCCCAAAUCCCAAAUCCUUUCCCAAUCCCAAAUCCCUUCUCCCAAUCCCAAACUCUUUUCCCAAAUCCUUUCCCCAUCCCAAAUCCUUCAAACCCUUCUCCCAACCCCAAAUCUCUUCUCCCAAUCCCAAAAUCUUUUCCCAAGCCAUUUUCCCAAAUCCAAUCCCAACCCCUUCAAACCCUUCUCCCAAUCCCAAAUCCUUCUCCCAAUCCCAAAAUCUUUUCCCAAUCCCAAAUCCUUUCCCAAUCCCAAACCCUUUUCCCAAAUCUCUUCCCAGUUCCUUUCCCAAAUCCCAAAUCCUUCUCCCAAUCCCAAAUCCUUUCCCAAUCCCAAACCCUUUCCCAAUCCCAAAUCCCGUUUCCCAUCCCCAAACAUUUAUCCCAAUCCCAAACCCUUUUUCCCAAUCCCAAACCCUUUUUCCCAAUCCCAAACCCUUUUCCCAAAUCCCAAAUCCCAAAUCCCAAUCCCAAAUCCUUCUCCCAAUCCCAAAUCCCUUCUCAGUUCCUUUCCCAAUCCCAAAUCCUUCUCCCAAUCCCAAAUCCUUUCCCAAUCCCAAACCCUUUUCCCAAAUCCCGUUUCCCAUCCCCAAACAUUUAUCCCAAUCCCAAACCAUUUUCCCAAAUCUCUUCCCAGUUCCUUUCCCAAUCCCAAGCCCUUCUCCCAAUCCCAAACCCUUUUCCCAAAUCCCAAAUCCUUUUCCCAAAUCCCAAAUCCUUUCCCAAUCCCAAAUCCUUUUCCCAAAUCUCUUCCCAGUUCCUUUCCCAAAUCCCAAACCCUUUUCCCAAAUCCCAAACCCUUCUCCCAAUCCCAAAUCCCUUCCCAAUCCCAAACCCUUCUUCCAAAUCCCA